This is a non-coding RNA of Triticum aestivum (bread wheat), 136 nucleotides long. Lineage: Eukaryota; Viridiplantae; Streptophyta; Magnoliopsida; Poales; Poaceae. The record is from Rfam.
UUCAUAAUCCCUCCGUCCGGAAAUACUUGUCAUCAAAAUGGAUAAGAGGGGGUGUAUCUAGACGUAUUUUAGUUCUAUAUACAUCCCCUUUUUAUCUAUUUUGAUGACAAGUAAUUUCGUUCGGAGGGAGUACAUC